AGAGUUUGAUCCUGGCUCAGGAUGAACGCUAGCUACAGGCUUAACACAUGCAAGUCGAGGGGAAACGACAUCGAAAGCUUGCUUUUGAUGGGCGUCGACCGGCGCACGGGUGAGUAACGCGUAUCCAACCUGCCCACCACUUGGGGAUAACCUUGCGAAAGUAAGACUAAUACCCAAUGACGUCUCUAGAGGACAUCUGAAAGAGAUUAAAGAUUUAUCGGUGAUGGAUGGGGAUGCGUCUGAUUAGCUUGUUGGCGGGGUAACGGCCCACCAAGGCUACGAUCAGUAGGGGUUCUGAGAGGAAGGUCCCCCACAUUGGAACUGAGACACGGUCCAAACUCCUACGGGAGGCAGCAGUGAGGAAUAUUGGUCAAUGGACGAGAGUCUGAACCAGCCAAGUAGCGUGCAGGAUGACGGCCCUAUGGGUUGUAAACUGCUUUUAUAAGGGAAUAAAGUGAGUCUCGUGAGACUUUUUGCAUGUACCUUAUGAAUAAGGACCGGCUAAUUCCGUGCCAGCAGCCGCGGUAAUACGGAAGGUCCGGGCGUUAUCCGGAUUUAUUGGGUUUAAAGGGAGCGUAGGCCGGAGAUUAAGCGUGUUGUGAAAUGUAGAUGCUCAACAUCUGCACUGCAGCGCGAACUGGUUUCCUUGAGUACGCACAAAGUGGGCGGAAUUCGUGGUGUAGCGGUGAAAUGCUUAGAUAUCACGAAGAACUCCGAUUGCGAAGGCAGCUCACUGGAGCGCAACUGACGCUGAAGCUCGAAAGUGCGGGUAUCGAACAGGAUUAGAUACCCUGGUAGUCCGCACGGUAAACGAUGGAUGCCCGCUGUUGGUCUGAAUAGGUCAGCGGCCAAGCGAAAGCAUUAAGCAUCCCACCUGGGGAGUACGCCGGCAACGGUGAAACUC
This 904-nucleotide ribosomal RNA is filed under the name uncultured bacterium. RNAcentral describes it as "bacterial SSU rRNA". It matches the Rfam family "Bacterial small subunit ribosomal RNA", at positions 8 to 902 of the family's 1533-position model. The record is from RNAcentral.